Homo sapiens (human) is the source of this 1590-nucleotide long non-coding RNA. The record is from Ensembl. Lineage: Eukaryota; Metazoa; Chordata; Mammalia; Primates; Hominidae.
AGAACAGUGCCUGUCCAGGGGCACAAGGGUUCACUGAAGACUCAGGAGAGGGGUUUAGAGCACAGCCUCCCUCUCCAGGGUCAGGUUCACGGGAGCUGUUGGGGGCUCCUUCCCUCGCAGCAGUGACCACUCCAAGGACCACGGCCUGGACAUGAGCGGCAGCGGUGAGCUGGGAGCUGCUGGCCUGGAGUCUAGAUGAAUAUAGGCAGCAGCCAAAGGCCACAGUCACGACAAACCUACACACUCUCACCACUGUCAUCUCAUAUUGUCCUAAAAUUUCCAGCCAGUGCAAAAAAACAUGAAAAAGAAAAAAUACAGCCAUUGGAAAAGAGGAAAAGUAAUUGUUAUUAGCUGAUGAUGUGAAUGUCUUCCUGAAAACCUUAAGAGAACCAACUGGAAAACAACCAGAAAUGAGAGCAUGGAGUUAGGCAACCGCCGAUCUGCUUUCUGUCACUUGGGCGAGUUUUUCCCGUCCUGGGAUUUCAUAUCUCUGGAAUCCUGCAGUACGUAGCCCUCUGUCUGGCUUCCUCGCUCCGUGUAAUGUUCUUGAGAUUCAUCCAUGCAGCUGUGUAUACCUGCAGUGAUUGUUUCUCUUGUUGAAUUGCUGAGAAGGGUUCCAUCGUAUGCCUUUUCCAGUUUAUUUGUUCAUCUGUUGUUAGACAUUUGAGUUAUUUCCAGCUUGGGACUCUUAUGAACAAAACUGCUAUAAACAUGCAUAUUCAAGUCUUUGUGGAUAUGUGCUUUCUUUUGUCCUGGAUAAAUGUCUCCACGUGGGCUUCCUGGGUCUCACGGUAAGUGUAUGUUUCGCUUUCUGUACCGCUUUACAUUCUCAUCUUCCUCAUUCCCCGUUUCCCCGAUGACUAAGGACGUCAGCAACUGGUAUGGUCUGGAUCCUUGUCCUGGCCCAAAUCUCAUGUUCAGUUGUGAUCCCCAGUGUUGGAGGUGGGACCUGGUGGAGGUGACAGGAUCGUGGGGGUGGAUUUCCCCCUUGGCUACUGUUGUCACAAUAGUGAGUUAGUUCUCGUGAGAUCUUGUUGUUUAAAAGUGUGUAGCGCCUCCCAUCCAUCUCUCUUCCUCCUCCUCUGGCCAUGUGACGUGCCGGCUCCCCCUUCACCUUCCGCCAUGAUUGUAAGUUUCCUGGGGCCUCCCCAGAAGCAGAAGCCACUAUGCCUUCCCGCACAGACUGCAGAACCGUGAGCCAAUUAAACCUCUUUUCUUUAUAAAUUAGCCAGUCUCAGGUAUUUCUUCAUAGCAGUGCAAGGAUGACAGAAUACAGUAUCCUUUUGUGUGCUUAGCCAUUUGUACAUCGUUUCUUAUAGUUUGUGUGUUCAACGUUUUGUCCAUUUAUGAAACUAGUUGAUUUGCUUUCUUAUUGAGUUGUAAGUGUUUUUUAUGUAUUGCAGGGAAAGUCCUUUGUCAUUUAUAGGCAUUGCAAUUAUUUUCUCACAGUCUGUGGCUUGUCUUUUCAUCGAUUUAAUGAUGUCUUUGGAAGACAAAAAAAUUUAAUUUUUAUGACAUCCAAUUUAUCAACUUUUUUAUAGUAACUGCCUUUUCUGUCCUAAGAAAUGUUUGUUAACUCAGAAUCACAAA